AACGAACGCUGGCGGCGCGUCUUAACCAUGCAAGUCGAGCGGCAGGCAGCAAUGCCGAGAGCGGCGGACUGGUGAGUAACACGUGGAUAACGUACCCCGAUGCCCGGGACAGCCUGUAGAAAUAGAGGGUAAUACCGGAUAGAUCACUGUUUACGGAAGGUAGACAGCGGGAAAGGAGCUUCGGCUCCGCGACGGGAUCGGUCUGCGGCCCAUCAAGCUCGUUGGUGAGGUAAGAGCUCACCAAGGCGAGGACGGGUAUCCGGCCUGAGAGGCGGACGGACACAUGGGACUGAGAUACGGCCCAGACUCCUACGGAGGCAGCAGGUAAGAAUAUUCCGCAAUGGGGGGAACCCUGACGGAGCGACGCCGCGUGAACGAAGAAGGCCGGAAGGUUGUAAAGUCUUUUCUGUCCGAGGAGAGGAAGGAGGGGAUGAUGUCAGG
This 441-nucleotide ribosomal RNA is filed under the name Treponema sp. oral taxon 268. Its description in RNAcentral is "bacterial SSU rRNA". It matches the Rfam family "Bacterial small subunit ribosomal RNA", at positions 29 to 479 of the family's 1533-position model. Lineage: Bacteria; Pseudomonadati; Spirochaetota; Spirochaetia; Treponematales; Treponemataceae. The record is from RNAcentral.